This 604-nucleotide ribosomal RNA is filed under the name uncultured bacterium. RNAcentral's name for it is "bacterial SSU rRNA". It matches the Rfam family "Bacterial small subunit ribosomal RNA", at positions 334 to 933 of the family's 1533-position model. The record is from RNAcentral.
GACUCCUACGGGAGGCAGCAGUGGGGAAUCUUGGACAUGGGGGAAACCUUGACCCAGCGAUGCCGCGUGGGUGAAGAAGGCCUUCGGGUUGUAAAGCCCUUUAGGCUGGGAAGAAGGUUAUGAGGGGAAAUACUUGUAGCUUGACGGUACCAGCAGAAUAAGCACCGGCAAACUCUGUGCCAGCAGCCGCGGUAAUACAGAGGGUGCAAGCGUUGAUCGGAUUUACUGGGCGUAAAGGGUGCGUAGGCGGUGAUGUGAGUGUGAUGUGAAAGCCCUGGGCUUAACCUAGGAAGUGCAUUGCAAACGACAUCACUGGAGUAGGUGAGAGGGUGGCGGAAUUUCCGGUGUAGCGGUGAAAUGCGUAGAUAUCGGAAGGAACGUCGAUGGCGAAGGCAGCCACCUGGCAUCAUACUGACGCUGAGGCACGAAAGCGUGGGUAGCGAACAGGAUUAGAUACCCUGGUAGUCCACGCUGUAAACGAUGAGGACUAGAUGUUGGUAGAGCGAUCUAUUAGUGUCGAAGCUAACGCGAUAAGUCUUCCGCCUGGGAAGUACGGCCGCAAGGUUGAAACUCAAAGGAAUUGACGGGGGCCCGCACAAGAGAU